Long non-coding RNA from Stegostoma tigrinum, 810 nucleotides. RefSeq lists it as uncharacterized. The transcript is spliced from 6 exons. The record is from RefSeq and is a predicted model, not a curated record. NCBI's taxonomy places the organism in Eukaryota, Metazoa, Chordata, Chondrichthyes, Orectolobiformes, Stegostomatidae.
CUCACAGUUUGGUCCCAUAGGUUGGUACGAUCUUCGUUGGAGAAGGAAAAGGGAUGUUCCAGAUACAGAAAAUCGUCAAACCAUUUACUACAAAGUCCGUUUCUGGGUGGAGUUAGUGGAACCGAAAAAGAUGUCUCCCUCACAGCGUUUGUGACAAAAGAAUUGCAUCGUUCCUUGGUGGCCUUUCAACAGAAGAAUAUUCAGAGAUUUCCCGAGUGAUUCUGAUGUCGGUUCCUGGAAAGCCUCCAUUGUUGGAGGACGAGAAGCCGUAUCCAAUUGAAGCAGCACAGGCUUCUGCGAUGACUGUGGAAACCACUGCUUAUGCCUUGCUUCAAGCAUUGUCAAGGAAUGAUAUUGACUAUGCAACACCGAUUGCGAGGUGGCCAACGAUGCAACAGAACUAUGGUGGUGGAUUUCACUCGACGCAGGACACAAUCAUUGCCUUGGAAGCUUCAUCAUGAUACGACAUUGCAUUUCUGAAGAGGGAAGAAGAAAUCAACAUGCAAAUUCAAUUCCAUGGUUUUGUAAGUCCCAUUGAGAACAUGAUUCAUGUGCGCUGGCAUAAUGCUCUGACCGAGAAAGAAUCGAAGCUUCCGCUUGGAAGAAAGAUUCACAUCAAGUUGACUGGUCAAGUAAAUGGGACACUGACUAACCAUACAAUUAGACUGUUUUGAUGAGGAACUUAAAGAUUACGAGUCCCGUCCGUUUGACUCAGAGUUUGGUACCAUAGGUUGGUACGAUCUUCGUUGGAGAAGGAAAAGGGAUGUUCCAGAUACAGAAAAUAGUCAAACCAUUUACUACAAAGUCCGU